This 209-nucleotide unclassified non-coding RNA is filed under the name uncultured Basidiomycota. Its description in RNAcentral is "sequence contains ITS2". RNAcentral also lists the same sequence under 1 other name. Lineage: Eukaryota; Fungi; Basidiomycota. The record is from RNAcentral.
AGUCAUCAACCCCUGCCGUUUGUCUCGGUGGCGGGUUGGAACUUGGGGGUCUGCCGCCGAGAGGCGGCUCCCCUUAAAUGCAUCGGUUGGGCCUGUGGGUCGAACUCGAUUGGGCGUUGUACCAUCCUCGCUCUAACGAGAUGUUCCCCUUCUUUGUGCCCCUCCACGACCUUGCCUUUUGAGUGGCGGUCAAAACAUAAACUUUGAAA